Long non-coding RNA from Mustela erminea (ermine), 74 nucleotides. RefSeq lists it as uncharacterized. The record is from RefSeq and is a predicted model, not a curated record. NCBI's taxonomy places the organism in Eukaryota, Metazoa, Chordata, Mammalia, Carnivora, Mustelidae. The transcript has 3 exons.
UUCUUUCUUCUCUCUCCUGCUCAGCUUGAUUGCUUUUCAUCACUCUGUCUUCCAAGUCAUUCAUUGGUUCCGUG